CAGCGUCAGUAUCAAUCCAGGAGGCCGCCUUCGCCACUGGUAUUCCUCCAUAUAUCUACGCAUUUCACCGCUACACAGGAAAUUCUACCCCCCUCUACCGUACUCUAGCCAGACAGUUUUGGAUGCAGUUCCCAGGUUGAGCCCAGGGCUUUCACAUCCAACUUAACAAACCACCUACGCGCGCUUUACGCCCAGUAAUUCCGAUUAACGCUUGCACCCUCCGU
This 224-nucleotide ribosomal RNA is filed under the name uncultured Gammaproteobacteria bacterium. RNAcentral describes it as "partial 16S ribosomal RNA". The record is from RNAcentral. Lineage: Bacteria; Pseudomonadati; Pseudomonadota; Gammaproteobacteria.